RNAcentral lists this ribosomal RNA (1380 nucleotides) under Klebsiella sp. RNAcentral's name for it is "bacterial SSU rRNA". It matches the Rfam family "Bacterial small subunit ribosomal RNA", at positions 59 to 1432 of the family's 1533-position model. The record is from RNAcentral. Lineage: Bacteria; Pseudomonadati; Pseudomonadota; Gammaproteobacteria; Enterobacterales; Enterobacteriaceae.
AAGUCGAGCGGUAGCACAGAGAGCUUGCUCUCGGGUGACGAGCGGCGGACGGGUGAGUAAUGUCUGGGAAACUGCCUGAUGGAGGGGGAUAACUACUGGAAACGGUAGCUAAUACCGCAUAACGUCGCAAGACCAAAGUGGGGGACCUUCGGGCCUCAUGCCAUCAGAUGUGCCCAGAUGGGAUUAGCUGGUAGGUGGGGUAACGGCUCACCUAGGCGACGAUCCCUAGCUGGUCUGAGAGGAUGACCAGCCACACUGGAACUGAGACACGGUCCAGACUCCUACGGGAGGCAGCAGUGGGGAAUAUUGCACAAUGGGCGCAAGCCUGAUGCAGCCAUGCCGCGUGUGUGAAGAAGGCCUUCGGGUUGUAAAGCACUUUCAGCGGGGAGGAAGGCGGUGAGGUUAAUAACCUCAUCGAUUGACGUUACCCGCAGAAGAAGCACCGGCUAACUCCGUGCCAGCAGCCGCGGUAAUACGGAGGGUGCAAGCGUUAAUCGGAAUUACUGGGCGUAAAGCGCACGCAGGCGGUCUGUCAAGUCGGAUGUGAAAUCCCCGGGCUCAACCUGGGAACUGCAUUCGAAACUGGCAGGCUAGAGUCUUGUAGAGGGGGGUAGAAUUCCAGGUGUAGCGGUGAAAUGCGUAGAGAUCUGGAGGAAUACCGGUGGCGAAGGCGGCCCCCUGGACAAAGACUGACGCUCAGGUGCGAAAGCGUGGGGAGCAAACAGGAUUAGAUACCCUGGUAGUCCACGCUGUAAACGAUGUCGAUUUGGAGGUUGUGCCCUUGAGGCGUGGCUUCCGGAGCUAACGCGUUAAAUCGACCGCCUGGGGAGUACGGCCGCAAGGUUAAAACUCAAAUGAAUUGACGGGGGCCCGCACAAGCGGUGGAGCAUGUGGUUUAAUUCGAUGCAACGCGAAGAACCUUACCUGGUCUUGACAUCCACAGAACUUUCCAGAGAUGGAUUGGUGCCUUCGGGAACUGUGAGACAGGUGCUGCAUGGCUGUCGUCAGCUCGUGUUGUGAAAUGUUGGGUUAAGUCCCGCAACGAGCGCAACCCUUAUCCUUUGUUGCCAGCGGUCCGGCCGGGAACUCAAAGGAGACUGCCAGUGAUAAACUGGAGGAAGGUGGGGAUGACGUCAAGUCAUCAUGGCCCUUACGACCAGGGCUACACACGUGCUACAAUGGCAUAUACAAAGAGAAGCGACCUCGCGAGAGCAAGCGGACCUCAUAAAGUAUGUCGUAGUCCGGAUUGGAGUCUGCAACUCGACUCCAUGAAGUCGGAAUCGCUAGUAAUCGUAGAUCAGAAUGCUACGGUGAAUACGUUCCCGGGCCUUGUACACACCGCCCGUCACACCAUGGGAGUGGGUGCAAAAGAAGUAGGUA